GACGAACGCUGGCGGCGUGCCUAAUACAUGCAAGUAGAACGCACAGUUUAUACCGUAGCUUGCUACACCAUAGACUGUGAGUUGCGAACGGGUGAGUAACGCGUAGGUAACCUGCCUGGUAGCGGGGGAUAACUAUUGGAAACGAUAGCUAAUACCGCAUAAUAUUGAUUAUUGCAUGAUAAUUGAUUGAAAGAUGCUAUUGCAUCACUACCAGAUGGACCUGCGUUGUAUUAGCUAGUAGGUGAGGUAACGGCUCACCUAGGCGACGAUACAUAGCCGACCUGAGAGGGUGAUCGGCCACACUGGGACUGAGACACGGCCCAGACUCCUACGGGAGGCAGCAGUAGGGAAUCUUCGGCAAUGGACGAAAGUCUGACCGAGCAACGCCGCGGGAGUGAAGAAGGUUUUCGGAUCGUAAAGCUCUGCUGUAAGAGAAGAACGGGUGUGAGAGUGGAAAGUUCACACUGUGACGGUAUCUUACCAGAAAGGGACGGCUAACUACGUG
This 505-nucleotide ribosomal RNA is filed under the name uncultured bacterium. RNAcentral describes it as "partial 16S ribosomal RNA". It matches the Rfam family "Bacterial small subunit ribosomal RNA", at positions 28 to 507 of the family's 1533-position model. The record is from RNAcentral.